RNAcentral lists this ribosomal RNA (280 nucleotides) under uncultured bacterium. Its description in RNAcentral is "partial 16S ribosomal RNA". It matches the Rfam family "Bacterial small subunit ribosomal RNA", at positions 29 to 332 of the family's 1533-position model. The record is from RNAcentral.
AACGAACGCUGGCGGCAGGCUUAACACAUGCAAGUCGAACGGGUGCGAGCAAUCGCAUCAGUGGCAGACGGGUGAGUAACACGUGGGAACCUUCCUAGGGGUACGGAACAACUCAGGGAAACUUGAGCUAAUACCGUAUACGUCCGUAAGGAGAAAGAUUCAUCGCCCCCUAGACGGGCCCGCGUCGGAUUAGGUAGUUGGUGGGGUAACGGCCUACCAAGCCUACGAUCCGUAGCUGAUCGAGAGGAUGAUCAGCCACACUGGGACUGAGACACGGCCC